GAUGAACGCUGGCGGCGUGCCUAAUACAUGCAAGUCGAGCGAACGGACGAGAAGCUUGCUUCUCUGAUGUUAGCGGCGGACGGGUGAGUAACACGUGGAUAACCUACUUAUAAGACUGGGAUAACUUCGGGAAACCGGAGCUAAUACCGGAUAAUAUUUUGAACCGCAUGGUUCAAAAGUGAAAGACGGUCUUGCUGUCACUUAUAGAUGGAUCCGCGCUGCAUUAGCUAGUUGGUAAGGUAACGGCUUACCAAGGCAACGAUGCAUAGCCGACCUGAGAGGGUGAUCAGCCACACUGGAACUGAGACACGGUCCAGACUCCUACGGGAGGCAGCAGUAGGGAAUCUUGCGCAAUGGGCGAAAGCCUGACGGAGCAACGCCGCGUGAGUGAUGAAGGUCUUCGGAUCGUAAAACUCUGUUAUUAGGGAAGAACAUAUGUGUAAGUAACUGUGCACAUCUUGACGGUACCUAAUCAGAAAGCCACGGCUAACUACGUG
Molecule: ribosomal RNA, 497 nt
Filed under: uncultured bacterium
Lineage: Bacteria
Description: partial 16S ribosomal RNA
Rfam family: Bacterial small subunit ribosomal RNA
Source: RNAcentral